Molecule: transfer RNA, 82 nt
Filed under: Echinostoma caproni
Lineage: Eukaryota; Metazoa; Platyhelminthes; Trematoda; Plagiorchiida; Echinostomatidae
Rfam family: tRNA
About the family: Transfer RNA (tRNA) molecules are approximately 80 nucleotides in length.
Source: Rfam by way of RNAcentral
GGCCUCGUAGCUUAGCUGGUAGAGCAUGCGCGUACAAAGCGUAGGCGGCGUCCAUGCAUGGGUUCGAACCCCACCGAGGCUA